This 424-nucleotide ribosomal RNA is filed under the name Verrucomicrobiota bacterium. Its description in RNAcentral is "Verrucomicrobia bacterium partial 16S ribosomal RNA". It matches the Rfam family "Bacterial small subunit ribosomal RNA", at positions 355 to 776 of the family's 1533-position model. Lineage: Bacteria; Pseudomonadati; Verrucomicrobiota. The record is from RNAcentral.
UGAGGAAUAUUGGUCAAUGGGCGAGAGCCUGAACCAGCCAAGUAGCGUGCAGGAUGACGGCCCUAUGGGUUGUAAACUGCUUUUAUAUGGGAAUAAAGUGAGGGACGUGUCCCUUAUUGCAUGUACCAUACGAAUAAGGACCGGCUAAUUCCGUGCCAGCAGCCGCGGUAAUACGGAAGGUUCGGGCGUUAUCCGGAUUUAUUGGGUUUAAAGGGAGCGUAGGCCGUUUGGUAAGCGUGUUGUGAAAUGUAGGAGCUCAACUUCCAGAUUGCAGCGCGAACUGUCAGACUUGAGUGCGCACAACGUAGGCGGAAUUCAUGGUGUAGCGGUGAAAUGCUUAGAUAUCAUGAAGAACUCCGAUUGCGAAGGCAGCUUACGGGAGCGCAACUGACGCUGAAGCUCGAAGGUGCGGGUAUCGAACAGG